UGGGGAAUAUUGCGCAAUGGGGGCAACCCUGACGCAGCAACGCCGCGUGAAGGAUGAAGGUCUUCGGAUUGUAAACUUUUGUCUUUGGUGAAGAUAGUGACGGUAGCCAAGGAGGAAGCCACGGCUAACUACGUGCCAGCAGCCGCGGUAAUACGUAGGUGGCAAGCGUUGUCCGGAUUUACUGGGUGCAAAGGGCGUGUAGACGGGUUUGCAAGUCAGAUGUGAAAUACCGCAGCUUAACUGCGGGGCUGCAUUUGAAACUGCAAAUCUUGAGUGCGGGAGAGGAAAGCGGAAUUCCUAGUGUAGCGGUGAAAUGCGUAGAUAUUAGGAGGAACACCAGUGGCGAAGGCGGCUUUCUGGACCGUAACUGACGUUGAGGCGCGAAAGCGUGGGUAGCAAACAGGAUUAGAUACCC
RNAcentral lists this ribosomal RNA (415 nucleotides) under uncultured bacterium. RNAcentral's name for it is "bacterial SSU rRNA". It matches the Rfam family "Bacterial small subunit ribosomal RNA", at positions 355 to 787 of the family's 1533-position model. The record is from RNAcentral.